RNAcentral lists this ribosomal RNA (1255 nucleotides) under Cellulomonadaceae bacterium RR15. RNAcentral describes it as "bacterial SSU rRNA". It matches the Rfam family "Bacterial small subunit ribosomal RNA", at positions 124 to 1392 of the family's 1533-position model. The record is from RNAcentral. Lineage: Bacteria; Bacillati; Actinomycetota; Actinomycetes; Micrococcales; Cellulomonadaceae.
ACCUGCCCUCGUCUUCGGGAUAACUACUGGAAACGGUGGCUAAUACCGAAUAUUCACUUCCUGUCGCAUGGUGGGUGGUGGAAAGUUUUUCGGACGAGGAUGGGCUCGCGGCCUAUCAGCUUGUUGGUGGGGUGAUGGCCUACCAAGGCGACGACGGGUAGCCGGCCUGAGAGGGUGACCGGCCCACACUGGGACUGAGAUACGGCCCAGACUCCUACGGGAGGCAGCAGUGGGGAAUAUUGCACAAUGGGCGAAAGCUGAUGCAGCGACGCCCGCGUGAGGGAUGACGGCCUUCGGGUUGUAAACCUCUUUCAGCAGGGGAAGAAGCGAAAGUGACGGUACCUGCAGAAGAAGCGCCGGCUAACUACGUGCCAGCAGCCGCGGUAAUACGUAGGGCGCAAGCGUUGUCCGGAAUUAUUGGGCGUAAAGAGCUCGUAGGCGGUUAGUCGCGUCUGCUGUGAAAACUCGAGGCUCAACCUCGGGCUUGCAGUGGGUACGGGCUGACUAGAGUGCGGUAGGGGUGACUGGAAUUCCUGGUGUAGCGGUGGAAUGCGCAGAUAUCAGGAGGAACACCGAUGGCGAAGGCAGGUCACUGGGCCGCAACUGACGCUGAGGAGCGAAAGCAUGGGGGAGCGAACAGGAUUAGAUACCCUGGUAGUCCAUGCCGUAAACGUUGGGCACUAGGUGUGGGGUCCAUUCCACGGAUUCCGUGCCGCAGCAAACUGCUAUUAAUUGCCCCGCCUGGGGAGUACGGCCGCAAGGCUAAAACUCAAAGAAAUUGACGGGGGCCCGAACAAGCGGCGGAGCAUGCGGAUUAAUUCGAUGCAACGCGAAGAACCUUACCAAGGCUUGACAUGCACCGGAAACUUCCAGAGAUGGUUGCCCCGUAAGUCGUGCACAGUGUGCAUGUUUUCGUCAGCUCGUGUCGUGAGAUGUUGGGUUAAGUCCCGCAACGAGCGCAACCCUCGUCCCCAUGUUGCCAGCGGGUUAUGCCGGGGACUCAUGGGAGACUGCCGGGGUCAACUCGGAGGAAGGUGGGGAUGACGUCAAAUCAUCAUGCCCCUUAUGUCUUGGGCUUCACGCAUGCUACAAUGGCCGGUACAAAGGGUUGCGAUACCGCGAGGUGGAGCGAAUCCCAAAAAGCCGGUCUCAGUUCGGAUUGGGGUCUGCAACUCGACCCCAUGAAGUCGGAGUCGCUAGUAAUCGCAGAUCAGCAACGCUGCGGUGAAUACGUUCCCGGGCCUUGUACACACCG